RNAcentral lists this ribosomal RNA (449 nucleotides) under uncultured bacterium. RNAcentral's name for it is "partial 16S ribosomal RNA". It matches the Rfam family "Bacterial small subunit ribosomal RNA", at positions 29 to 523 of the family's 1533-position model. The record is from RNAcentral.
AACGAACGCUGGCGGCAGGCCUAACACAUGCAAGUCGAACGGGAUCUUCGGAUCUAGUGGCGGACGGGUGAGUAACGCGUGGGAACGUGCCCUUUGGUUCGGAAUAGCCCCGGGAAACUGGGCGUAAUAACGGAUAAGCCAUACGGGGGAAAGAUUUAUCGCCAAAGGAUCGGCCCGCGUUGGAUUAGGUAGUUGGUGAGGUAAUGGCUCACCAAGCCGACGAUCCAUAGCUGGUUUGAGAGGAUGAUCAGCCACACUGGGACUAAGACACGGCCCAGACUCCUACGGGAGGCAGCAGUGGGGAAUCUUAGACAAUGGGGGAAACCCUGAUCUAGCCAUGCCGCGUGAUCGAUGAAGGCCUUAGGGUUGUAAAGAUCUUUCAGUGGGGAAGAUAAUGACUGUACCCACAGAAGAAGCCCCGGCUAACUCCGUGCCAGCAGCCGCCGUAA